Molecule: ribosomal RNA, 405 nt
Filed under: Triticum aestivum (bread wheat)
Lineage: Eukaryota; Viridiplantae; Streptophyta; Magnoliopsida; Poales; Poaceae
Description: partial small subunit ribosomal RNA
Source: RNAcentral
CACAAGCCAGAACACAAGGAUGAGAUCGAAAGACACGUUGCAGAAUUGCUCAGGUCUGGAGUUAUACAGCUCAGUACCAGCCCCUUUUCAUCACCGGUCAUCCUUGUUAAGAAGAAAGAUGGCACAUGGCGACUGUGUGUCGACUACCGGCAGCUCAGCGCCCUCACAUGUAUUGCCAAGUACCCAGUACCUGUGAUCGAGGAACUUCUGGACGAAUUACACGAUGCUUGCUGGUUCUCCAAGCUUGACUUACGUGCCGGCUAUCAUCAUAUCCGGCUUGCGGAAGGGGAAGAGUACAAAACAGUGUUCCAAACUCAUUCAUGGCACUAUGAGUUCAAGGUGGUUUCGUUCGGUCUCGCGGGGGGUCCAGCCACUUUCAACGGUGCAAUAACAACCACAUUGUAG